AACGAACGCUGGCGGCGUGCUUAACACAUGCAAGUCGAACGUGAAAGUCCUUCGGGAUGAGUAAAGUGGCGCACGGGUGAGUAAUACAUAAGAACGUACCUACGAGUGGGGAAUAACCAUCGGAAACGAUGGCUAAUACCGCAUGAUGUCGCAAGACCAAAAGGGGCCUAUCCUUGGAAGCUCUUGCUCGUAGAUCGGCUUAUGUCCCAUUAGCUAGUUGGUAAGGUAAAGGCUUACCAAGGCUAUGAUGGGUAGCUGGUCUGAGAGGAUGAUCAGCCACACUGGAACUGAGACACGGUCCAGACUCCUACGGGAGGCAGCAGUGGGGAAUCUUGCACAAUGGGCGAAAGCCUGAUGCAGCAACGCCGCGUGAGUGAAGAAGGUUCUUGGAUUGUAAAGCUCUUUCGGCUGGGAAGAAGGGAUUUGGAAUUAAUACCUCCAGAUUCUGACGGUACUAGAAGAAGAAGCACCGGCUAACUCCGUGCCAGCCGCCGCUGUAA
RNAcentral lists this ribosomal RNA (500 nucleotides) under uncultured bacterium. RNAcentral's name for it is "partial 16S ribosomal RNA". It matches the Rfam family "Bacterial small subunit ribosomal RNA", at positions 29 to 523 of the family's 1533-position model. The record is from RNAcentral.